UACGUAGGGUGCAAGCGUUGUCCGGAAUUAUUGGGCGUAAAGAGCUCGUAGGCGGUUUGUCGCGUCUGCUGUGAAAACUCGGGGCUUAACUCCGGGCCUGCAGUGGGUACGGGCAGACUAGAGUGCGGUAGGGGAGACUGGAAUUCCUGGUGUAGCGGUGAAAUGCGCAGAUAUCAGGAGGAACACCGAUGGCGAAGGCAGGUCUCUGGGCCACUACUGACGCUGAGAAGCGAAAGCAUGGGGAGCGAACAGG
This 253-nucleotide ribosomal RNA is filed under the name uncultured bacterium. Its description in RNAcentral is "partial 16S ribosomal RNA". It matches the Rfam family "Bacterial small subunit ribosomal RNA", at positions 524 to 776 of the family's 1533-position model. The record is from RNAcentral.